RNAcentral lists this unclassified non-coding RNA (628 nucleotides) under Cimex lectularius (bed bug). Its description in RNAcentral is "neurofilament medium polypeptide-like, transcript variant X2". The record is from RNAcentral. Lineage: Eukaryota; Metazoa; Arthropoda; Insecta; Hemiptera; Cimicidae.
UUGUGAACCAGUUGUUUAAUUGAUAAAUAUGUAGAUUACACAUGUAAGUGAUACAAGAAUGCAAGGUGCAAGUUCAUGGGAAAAAUGUAUGCAAGUUUAAAUUAAAAAUUCAUAAAUAGCAUGGCCGGACAGAAAAGCCACAAAGACAAUCGUGUAGGUUGAUGAUUGUAUAAGAGCAAAAGUUUAAUGCCACAAAAGGAAAUGCCCUCGCGGCAGAAAAAAAAUGAUCCUGCUACCGAUGCUGAAGGAGGAAAAAAAGGAAAAAUGGCAAGUAAAGCAGAAAAAAUAAAAUUACCUUGUCCGCACAGUUUCUGCAAUGAACCUUCAGAUCCAUCUUAUUAUCCGAAAGGAUCCUCGGCUGAAGAUGCCAAAGUGAUGAAAUGAAACAAGGCUGAUAGAUCGAUUACGAUUAACCCACACUCCCAAGAAGUGAGUGUCUUUGAUGAAACAAGUCAAUGAUCUCACUCAAAUGGAAAUUGCCACAGCUAAUUACUAAAUGCCAAAGCAUCAUCUGGCUGAUAUGCUGAUACUUGUUUUACACUAAUAACCACAUAAUAAACAAAAGCUUCACUGCCCCUUUUGCCCAUAAAGUACCAUGAAUAAAAAAAUCUGAGAUACAAUUUAAUUU